This 1512-nucleotide long non-coding RNA is filed under the name Cervus hanglu yarkandensis (Yarkand deer). RNAcentral's name for it is "lncRNA (ENSCHYG00000000964.1)". Lineage: Eukaryota; Metazoa; Chordata; Mammalia; Artiodactyla; Cervidae. The record is from RNAcentral.
UCCCCUGCUCGGGGUUGUGAGCUGACCCCCUCCCCAGGAAGCGAGCUGCGGGCCCCUCCUCCAGGCGCCCACCUCCGCCGCGGGCUGAGCGUCCUGCUGACCCCAGGCAGGAGGGGAAGACUCGUCCUGCAGGCGGGAGCCCGCGGGCCCUGCACAGCGGGCGUUCCCGGCAGAGCCUGUACUUGGGCUCUCAGGGCGAUCUCUGUCGUGAGCCUCUGCAUUCCGGGUGACGUGUAAACACGUGGGUUCGGGUUUCUCGCUGACCCUGCAGAGAAGCCCGGUCAGGCGCAGGGGGCCCCAGAGAAGCAAAGGCCGUCUUCAGCGAGCCCCACUUCCCCUUCAGCCUCCUCACAUUAGAGAGCCCAUCCUCGGGUCCACCUUCCCUCUGAGAGCUGAGGAAGCAAGAGACGUUCAGAUGUAAAGAUCAGUUUUGCUUCUGCACCCAUCAAGACAAGGCUGAGGCCUUGAACCGCAUGGAGCUUCGGGGGUGGUUUCUGCUUGUUUUUCUCCAGGGUCGGGUUAGCCAGGUGCAGGCUCCGCCGUGUGCCCAGCGCUGCCCUGGGCCCCGGGGGGCAGAACGAGGAGCCAGGCAGGACAGGCCUCUCCCUGCGGAAGAGGGUACCUUGCCAAGAGAAGAGAAAGGAAACGAGUCCUUGGUCCUUCCUGCCCUGUUCCCAGGAAGUGGCUGGUGCCAGGGCCACGUGAGUCUGUCUGGGGUGGGUCCCGAGGGCCAGCAGCGUCCUCCCCACUGUGACCCCCGCCCCCCACCACCCUGACCCCCAGCCUUCAUCCUCCUUAGGUGUCCGUCCUGCCUGCCCCGUCCUCCCCUGAGACGCGAGUGAGGACCCAGGGCAGCACAGGGAGCCGGAGCCCCGGGCGCCACAUCCACACAGGACUGUCCCGGCGCGGGGGAGGCCUUGGGGUGUCCGGCUCCCGAUGCAGCCUGGCCACUCUUCCUGGACAGAACCGGCUUUGGUGGGCCAAGUGGACACUAACCCUGGUGGCCCCGGCCUUGACUUCUGAUCGUGUCCCCGGACAGGGGUCAGGGACUCAAACACGUCCCUCACUGUCUGCCGAUCACCACCCCACUCCUCCUGCCCCUGACCUUAUCGCUGUAGCCAAGGCCUGUAAAUGGUGGGCUGGGCUUGACCUUGCCUCGCCUGACUCCAAGGUCCAUGUUCCUGGCCUACUGGGAGACCCGUCAGCCCCUCUGUGCCUUUAAAUGUAGGUCCAAGCAGCACAGGUCCGAUGUGGCCUGUUUCACUGUCUUCCCAUCCCCAGAAACAGCAUUAAGGGCUGCUUCCCUCUUGCUGCUGCUUCUCACACACCAUGUGUUAUUUUGGGUGUGGUAGAAUAACUACAUAAAGUUUGCCAUCUUGGCCUUUUCCCGAGAGCUUAAGUCUGUGGCAUUAAAUGCAUUCAGGUGGUGCAGCCGUCACCCCCAUCCUCCGCGGAAGUCUUCCUCUUCCCAGACUGAACCUCGGUCCCCAUGAGACACCCUCCCGCAGCCCC